AGUAUAUUGGCAGACUAAUGCAUUAGAAUUAGAAUCUAAUUACACUAUAAUAUUUCCUU
RNAcentral lists this transfer RNA (59 nucleotides) under Epeus alboguttatus. RNAcentral's name for it is "tRNA-Leu". The record is from RNAcentral. Lineage: Eukaryota; Metazoa; Arthropoda; Arachnida; Araneae; Salticidae.